AACAAAGCGCUUUGCCACCAUUACCUUACUUCCACCAUUACCUUACUUUUUUCCAAUCUUUGAGUGGGCGUUUCUCAAUACUGCUGUUUUACAACUUCGAGUUUCCAACGUGCUGCAAAUGACCACGCUAAAAGUUAAUGAAAUAUGGCACAAGUAUAUACAUUAUAUAGGGUUUACCAGAUAGCUUAAUUCCAAGAGCUCGAACAAAACAUGCAUUAGGCCUAAAGCUACAUGACUACAUGAAAACCAUCAAUUUUAUAUGAAGAGUCCAGUCCUUCAACCAUUGUGCAGUGAUGACUCUCAGAUGAAACUUCUCAGGUGUAUUAAGGCACGGUCGUAUCAAGAAACUCUCUUUAUUUUAAUGCCGAUGUUUUACAUGAUUUUUACAUUUUAUAAUUAAUUUGUCAGGUGACUAUCAUGUGACUGAAAUACAAGGUCUUAAAUUUCAAUGCCUUGGGAACUAUCCACAUUCAUUCACUAUUCACUAUUGAAUGUUACACUAUAAAUUGUACCUACCCAGCUAGUGACUAGUAUGCGGUAAGAAAGUAUCCAAAUGUCACCUCUUCUUACCCGUGUCGACUGUACACCGUUCUAGCACGGGCAUCCCUAAAUACUAAGCUACCACCAGGAGAAAUAAAUGGGGUCAAAGGUUAAAUGACGUCAAUGCAAACUAUAUUGGGUUCAAGCAUUUUCUUUUCAAGAUUCACAAGCUCAAAAUUCACAAGCUUCAUCCCAACAUUCAACAUCCCAGCAUUCAACAUCCCAGCAUUCAAUAUUCAUUCAUCUCAACUUAAACGGGUAUAAAAGGGGAGGGGCCCGGCCAACGCGUUUAAUUUUUUCUCUGUGAGCGCUAAGAAAGUCACUUCAUAGCUGCCUUGUACAGCAGGCGUAUAGAUGGCACGUGCGUUGAGUUAAAAAUGGCAACUACUUCUUCGAGAAAGCGUGUCUUGACAUUCAUUUUCUGGACCAAGUGGAGAUUUCCAGCAGAGGCAUCAGAGAGCUAUUGACACCGGACCUCCUCUAGAUAACUUGAGCUUAAUCAACACUCUGUUUGAUUCUGUUGAAAAACACUCCAUCUCUGGCUCUCUCAUCCCCACCCCCCCUGUUAUUAGUGAUUGCUCAGCUGUGAAAUCUUUCAUGAGUAAUAGUGGUAAGUGAACAACGCAUCGUGUACAAAGACAGAAGAUCAGUUGUUCUUCAUCACUGAGAAGCACUGCUUCGACUCUAAGAAAUACACUGUAUAUUUUAUAGAAAGGGUCUUCCAUUGUCGGCAACAGAAACGGACGUGUUCGAGUUCCCGUGUAUUUGCAGGCCAGUGAACAAUAGUAUCUUUGUGUGCGCAGGUGUGCGCAGGUGUGUGCGCAGGAUGGUUCAUGGAUUUACCAUCCCAAUAUACCAACUUCACUCAGUUUUGUCGAUUAGGAAACGUUGGGCAUGGGCACAGUUACAUUCGACAAGUGCUAAUACUUGUAUUUUCCGUAGUGUACCAAAAGCUGGAUAGGGCUGCACAAGCAAGUAUGAUGUCUGCUGUGUAUGAUGUGAUGCAACACCCAGAAUAUAUCGCCAAAGGGGGAGAGUGGGUCACCAAUGCGUACCUGUACCUUGCUUGUCUGGAAGUACCAAGAAGAUACUUGGUAUCACAACUCUUUUCCGGCUCUACUGCUCAGACAAGGGAUGUACCAAGCUUGUUCUCCCUCAAGCUCAAGUGCAAAACAAAACAGAGGCACAGGUGUCCAAAUAUGUGAAUGAAUUGGGGCUCAUAAAUUCGGUACAAAAAAUGUGGCAAAGGAAUUGAGGAAGGUUACCCAAGGCCUAGUUAGGGAGAAGAGCGGAGAACGCACCAAUUGCCACACAACUUCGUCUUGCCACAUGACGAGCUACACCCCCAGCAAAGACAAGCUAACUUGUAGUAAGGCUUUGAUCAAGAUCAUACAUCUACCGAAACGCCCAAUACUUUUGCAGAGUAAGUAUUAUGAUUGUACAUGUACGUACACUAUGUCAGUAUUGUGGUCAUUGUUU
Halichondria panicea is the source of this 2019-nucleotide long non-coding RNA. RefSeq lists it as uncharacterized. The transcript has 6 exons. Lineage: Eukaryota; Metazoa; Porifera; Demospongiae; Suberitida; Halichondriidae. The record is from RefSeq and is a predicted model, not a curated record.